GCAGUGGUAGUUCAGUGGUAGAACACUUGCCUUCCAUGUGGGAGACUCAGGUUUGAUUCCCGGCUAGUGCA
RNAcentral lists this transfer RNA (71 nucleotides) under Loxodonta africana (African savanna elephant). It matches the Rfam family "tRNA". From Rfam's summary of the family: Transfer RNA (tRNA) molecules are approximately 80 nucleotides in length. Their secondary structure includes four short double-helical elements and three loops (D, anti-codon, and T loops). The record is from Rfam by way of RNAcentral. Lineage: Eukaryota; Metazoa; Chordata; Mammalia; Proboscidea; Elephantidae.